Molecule: ribosomal RNA, 324 nt
Filed under: uncultured bacterium
Lineage: Bacteria
Description: bacterial SSU rRNA
Rfam family: Bacterial small subunit ribosomal RNA
Source: RNAcentral
GAUGAACGCUGGCGGCGUGCCUAACACAUGCAAGUCGAGCGAAGCACCUUACUUGAUUUCUUCGGGAUGAAAGUAUUGUGACUGAGCGGCGGACGGGUGAGUAACGCGUGGAUAACCUGCCUCAUACAGGGGGAUAACAGUUAGAAAUGACUGCUAAUACCGCAUAAGACCACAGCACCGCAUGGUGCAGGGGUAAAAACUCCGGUGGUAUGAGAUGGAUCCGCGUCUGAUUAGCUAGUUGGUAAGGUAACGGCUUACCAAGGCAAUGAUGCAUAGCCGAGUUGAGAGACUGAUCGGCCACAUUGGGACUGAGACACGGCCCAA